This 1953-nucleotide ribosomal RNA is filed under the name human gut metagenome. RNAcentral's name for it is "bacterial LSU rRNA". It matches the Rfam family "Bacterial large subunit ribosomal RNA", at positions 3 to 1983 of the family's 2925-position model. The record is from RNAcentral.
UCAAGCAAAAAAGAGCGCAGGGUGGAUGCCUUGGCACUAAGAGCCGAUGAAAGACGUGAUAAGCUGCGAAAAGCUGCGGGGAGGAGCAAAUAUCCACUGAUCCGCAGAUGUCUGAAUGGGGAAACCCGCAUGAGCAACCCUCAUGCAUCCAUACGCCAAUCCAUAACGUAUGGAAGGGAACCGCCUGAACUGAAACAUCUAAGUAGGGCGAGGAAGAGAAAGAAAAUUUAUCGAUUUCCAAAGUAGCGGCGAGCGAAAUGGAAAGAGGCCAAACCGGAGUGCGUGCACUCCGGGGUUCGGACCGCAUUUAAGAUUCAGUGAUUCUAGCAGAAAGGUUUUGGGAAAGCCUGCCGGAGAGGGUGAAAGCCCCGUAAGCGAAAGAGAAACUGACUGAGCGGUAUCCAGAGUACAUCGAGACACGAGAAACCUUGAUGGAAUGAGCGGGGACCACCCCGUAAGCCUAAAUACUCCUUAGUGACCGAUAGCGCAUAGUACUGUGAAGGAAAGGUGAAAAGGACCCCGGGAGGGGAGUGAAAGAGAACCUGAAACCCUGUGUUUACAAGCUGUGGGACAUCUUUACAUGAUGAACCGCGUACUUUUUGUAGAACGGUCCGGCGAGUUGCGGAUGCCGGCAAGGUUAAGCACUUAAGGUGUGGAGCCGAAGGGAAACCAAGUCUGAAGAGGGCGCAUAUAGUCAGUAUCCGCAGACCCGAAACCGGGUGAUCUACCCAUGUCCAGGUUGAAGUUGCCGUAAAAGGCAAUGGAGGACCGAACGCACAUCCGUUGAAAAGGGUGGCGAUGAGGUGUGGGUAGGGGAGAAAUUCCAAUCGAACCCGGAGAUAGCUGGUUCUCCUCGAAAUAGCUUUAGGGCUAGCCUCGUUUUAGUCUUAUGGAGGUAGAGCACUGAAUUUCCGCGGGGGCGUCAAAGCUUACCAAAGAAUAUCAAACUCCGAAUGCCAUGUAGAUGAUGAACGGGAGUCAGACUGCACGAGAUAAGUUGGGCAGUCAAAAGGGAAAGAGCCCAGACCGCCAGCCAAGGUCCCAAAGUGUGUGUUAAGUGGAAAAGGAUGUGGGAUCUCCAAGACAACUAGGAUGUUGGCUCAGAAGCAGCCACACAUUCAAAGAGUGCGUAACAGCUCACUAGUCGAGAGGUCCUGCGCCGAAAAUGUCCGGGGCUGAAACACAACACCGAAGCUGCGGAAUUGCGAAUGCAAUUGGUAGAGGAGCAUUCUUAAUACCGACGAAGCUGUACCGGAAGGAGCAGUGGAGGGAUAAGAAGAGAGAAUGCCGGAAUGAGUAGCGAGAGAGAGGUGGGAAUCCUCUCGGCCGAAUAUCCAAGGUUUCCAGAGUAAAGCUGAUCUGCUCUGGGUAAGUCGGGGCCUAAGGCGAGGUCAAGAGACGUAGCCGAUGGACAACAGGUUUAGAUUCCUGUACCGCAUAUAAACAGAACUGUGGGGACGCAUGGGGAGAGCAUGGGCCGGGAAUGGAAAUACCGGUGCAAGCGAAGGAGGUGUGCAGCCGGCAAAUCCGCUGCAUGAGCCGAAAGCGUGACGCGGAGCGAAAUGAAAGUAGCGAAGCAUGUGAGCCCUGUGCCGAGAAAAGCCGCUAUAGCUUUAUAUGUGCCCGUACCGUAAACCGACACAGGUGGAUGAGGAGAGAAUCCUAAGGCCGGCGGAAGAAGUAUUGUUAAGGAACUCGGCAAAAUGACCCCGUAACUUCGGGAGAAGGGGUGCCCACGGGAGUGGGCCGCAGAGAAUAGGCUCAAGCAACUGUUUAGCAAAAACACAGGUCUAUGCGAAACCGAAAGGUGAAGUAUAUGGGCUGACGCCUGCCCGGUGCUGGAAGGUUAAGAGGAGAGGUCAGCGCAAGCGAAGCUUUGAAUUUAAGCCCCAGUAAACGGCGGCCGUAACUAUAACGGUCCUAAGGUAGCGAAAUUCCUUGUCGGGUAAGUUC